Molecule: ribosomal RNA, 250 nt
Filed under: uncultured bacterium
Lineage: Bacteria
Description: partial 16S ribosomal RNA
Rfam family: Bacterial small subunit ribosomal RNA
Source: RNAcentral
UACGGAGGGUGCAAGCGUUAAUCGGAAUUACUGGGCGUAAAGCGCGCGUAGGCGGCUACAUAAGUUGGAGGUGAAAUCCCCGGGCUCAACCUGGGAACUGCUUUCAAAACUGUGUAGCUAGAGUGCAGAAGAGGAUAGUGGAAUUUCUAGUGUAGCGGUGAAAUGCGUAGAUAUUAGAAGGAACACCAGUGGCGAAGGCGACUGUCUGGGCUGACACUGACGCUGAGGUGCGAAAGCGUGGGGAUCAAAC